UCACAAGAGAUUGCUACUAAGAUGGGAUUUCGCCAGGAUCCACAGUUUGCACCUUGUACCAGCAUGCUCCCUGGUACAUCCACUGGACUGAAUGUUCCUCAAAGACCUGCCAAGGCCCCUGUUCUCGGUCUUGAUGCUCAAGGUAGGGAAAUCGAUGAGCAUGGAAAUGUUAUCAGCAUGACCAAGCCAAGCAACCUGAGUACUCUGAAGGUCAACAUUAACAAGCAGAAGAAGGAUGCAUUCCAAAUUAUCAAACCAGACUUGGAGUCGCUUGCAAAAUCCACUGUUCAUUUUGAUGAAAGGAUGGGCAUCAACCCAACCAAGCUCCUUCGUCCUAAAAGGCCAGGAUUCCAGUUUAUUGAGGAAAAACUUUCGAGGGAGGCUGAAUUGCAGAGGAUUAAGAAUCAAUUUGGUGAAGCACAAGCCAAAGAGCUUAAGGUAAAGCAAGCUCAACUUGCCAAGGCAAAGGUCGAAGCUGACAUGAAUCCAAACCUAAUUGAAAUUGCUCCUGGUGGAAGGCCUCCAAAGCAGAAGCGGAAGGAAGAGAUUCCUGACAUUGAGCCAUGGGACUCAAAAAUCCUGAUAUCUGCCACGUACGAGGACAUCUCCUUGGAAAAGCUUAAUAUGGAUAGGAUCACCAUCUACGUGCAACAUCCAGAGCCAUUGGAACCACCGGCUAAGCCCAUGACACCACCGCCUCAGCCACUUAAGCUUACUAACAAUGAGCAGAAGAAGUAUAGAACACAGAGGCGCCUCGCUACGGAAAAAGAUAGACAAGAAAUGAUUAGGCAAGGCCUCUUGGAGCCACCAAAGCCCAAGGUCAAGAUGAGCAACCUUAUGAAAGUACUUGGUGCACAGGCUACACAGGACCCGACACACAUGGAGAUGGAAAUAAGAGCGGCUGCUGCAGAGCGUGAGCAGGCUCACGUGGACCGCAACAUUGCCCGCAAACUCACACCAUCUGAGCGCCGUGAGAAAAAGGAGAGGAAGCUUUUUGAUGAUCCUGACACAUUAGACUAUUUCACUAUUUGUGUGUACAGAAUCAGAGACCUGUCGCACAGUGAGGCACACUUUAAAGUGGAUGUGAAUGCCCGAGACAACCGGUUGACUGGCGCUGCAGUUAUCACGGAUGGUGUAAGUGUUGUGGUUGUGGAAGGAGGGGGGAAGUCGAUCAAGAGGUACAAUAACCUGAUGCUGAACAGGAUUGACUGGGCUGCUGCAGUUGGCGAUGAGGAUAAUGACGCCGACGAGGAACCAGACAAGCCGGUGAAUAGCUGUGCAUUAGUAUGGCAAGGUAGUGUGGUGAAGUCUGCCUUUCCCAGGUGGUUCGGCGUGCGUUGCCAGAGUGAGGCUGCUGCCAAGAAGGUGUUUUUAGAUGCUAAAGUUGCACACUACUGGGACCUGGCUGUCAACUUCUCGGAUGAUUUGUCUUGA
RNAcentral lists this ribosomal RNA (1434 nucleotides) under Triticum aestivum (bread wheat). RNAcentral describes it as "partial small subunit ribosomal RNA". The record is from RNAcentral. Lineage: Eukaryota; Viridiplantae; Streptophyta; Magnoliopsida; Poales; Poaceae.